AUAAUAAGGAUUAUGACAUCACUGUUGCUCCUCCUGUUUCUGAUUAUGAGUCUUUAGCUAGUGAGCUGGGUUUUCAUUCUCAUUCCAGGUGAUAAUGGCAAGUCCCAAAAUCUUGUCAGGCCUAGGAAACUGCCGUCUUUACAUGGAUGGAAGAUGAGGGGCUCAUCCUUUUGAGUGUACCUGUGUGGGAGAGGAAAUAAGAAACCACCUUCUUCCCCUACCUCCAUUCAUUAGGACUUCUUGGGUUGGAGGAGGCAUCAUCUGCCUUGGAAUCCUUGAAUGCUAAGUUGGGCUGGAAGCAGAGGAAGAGGUAGACCAUGCUCUCGUGGCACACACAGUUGAUAGUUCGCAUCCGCCGGUCUCGGGAGACAAUGGAGGAGUGCCUGACAAGAUUUUGGAGUCUCCCAGGAUUCAAGACGUGAGAACCCAGCCCGGGAUGAAUAAGUAAUCGCUGAGGGAACAGUGAUGUCACAAUCAUGUUGGCCAAAUGGCAGCAUUUUCAGCCUCAACUGUUGCCAGGCAAACUUUCAAGUACAUUUUCUCGAACAGCCACAGCAAUCAUUUCUUCCCCCUACCUAUUGUGUAAUUGCUGCCAAUCACAGGACUAAUAUUGAGAAUGGAGCGUUAGGAGAGAUCUGAGUUUUCAGAGUCCCGGUGUGGUACAGGUGCAGAGAGAUUGAACUAUGAAUCAGCACGUUACUGGCAACUCUGUUUUAGGCAAGCCACACUCUUUCAGCCUCAGCCCCAACACACAAAAUCUGCAAAUACAGGGAUGGUAAUAAUACUGACCUGCCUUGCAGGUGGCUUUAAGGGCAUGUACCAAGGUACUUUCCAGUUACGCAAUAGAAACAAACAAGUCUUGUGGCCCCUUAAAGACUAACUAUGUAUUAUUGCACACACUUUUGUGAACUACUGUCUACUUCACCAGAUGCACGGAGUAUUAUCCUGAGUUCAAAGUUGGGGCAAAGUAUC
Molecule: long non-coding RNA, 972 nt
Organism: Podarcis raffonei (Aeolian wall lizard)
Lineage: Eukaryota; Metazoa; Chordata; Lepidosauria; Squamata; Lacertidae
Exons: 3
Source: RefSeq, a predicted model, not a curated record